CCCUCUGUCGGGUUCGAGAUGAGGUAAGAAAACCAAACUCUACAAAAACACAGCCCCGGGAUCUGUCCCUGGCCGUGGUGUGCAAGCCCGGACACGCUUCACCGGGAAGCCUGAAGCGGUCAUCACGGAGCCCACCUUGGCUCAACUACACGGGGUUUGGUUUGAACACCUCGACGGCUCACAUGGUAAGGCC
This 193-nucleotide non-coding RNA is filed under the name Deltaproteobacteria bacterium. RNAcentral's name for it is "6S RNA". It matches the Rfam family "6S / SsrS RNA". Rfam says of the family: E. coli 6S RNA was the first non coding RNA to be sequenced, but its function was unknown until recently. It consists of 184 nucleotides that fold into an extended hairpin structure with a large single-stranded internal bulge. The 6S RNA specifically associates with RNA polymerase holoenzyme containing the sigma70 specificity factor. Lineage: Bacteria; Pseudomonadati; Myxococcota; Myxococcia. The record is from RNAcentral.